Molecule: long non-coding RNA, 873 nt
Filed under: Sinocyclocheilus grahami
Lineage: Eukaryota; Metazoa; Chordata; Actinopteri; Cypriniformes; Cyprinidae
Description: lncRNA (ENSSGRG00000020721.1)
Source: RNAcentral
GAAGAAGUUUAGUCCCUGUUUUUACUGAUUAUACCUGUAAAUACAGUUAUUUCAUCCAGAGCUGAACUGACUCAGCCAUGAUUUAGGAUGAUUUAAGACAAACAACAUUAAGAACUGAUCGCUUCAAGGAGGCCUGGAGCAAAUUGAACCGCUGAUUGAAUCCAGAGCCAAAGGACAAUAAAAGAAUCAAGACCGACUUGAGUUUGAUGGAGGGCAAAAGAGACAGACACAUGUCUGUGUACGUCCACGAGCUAAAGCACACCAUCCUCAACAACAGGCAUCUCUCUUCAGGCUAUGAGAGCGAGCUGUUGGUGGAAUUGCAUCAGCCAAUCACAGAUGCUACAUCACUUCCAGAUGUUUCCAGCCAUCUUUGCUGGUGGAACGCAAACCUCUGUUGCCUUUUCACCACAAUACUGGAAGCUGCGACCUGAAUCCAUCUGAACUCUAACGCUGCCUCAAUUAUGACAAAAUAAAUAUACUGUAAACAUCAUCUGAUAUUUUACUGUGGCUUAUAAGUGAUGUAGGAGGACAGACUGAUAUCCCAAACGUGGAUGUGAGAAAAAAGAAACAACAACCCUCCUUUUAAGAAUAACAGUCCAACCUCUGAUUUGCAAAACGUCAAAUAUGAAAUGCAAAAUGUUGAAACUGUAAAACACAAGCUGGGAAUUCUCCCUAAUGUAUUAUUGUUCCUUUUUUGUGUUUAAUAACCAUACUUCAUAUCUGAUUUGCCGUGGCCUUGUCAAGCGAUUGUAGAUCAGUCUCAGUGUGUCCCUCUGCCUGUAGGAAGCUCGGACGUGCAUGGACGGAAACCAGAGCGCUGACAAAAGGGUUGUAUGUGGAAACAUCCAGGGUGGGAACUGUACGGUGAAGCUG